GGAAGUUUAACUUUGAUAAAGAAAGGAGAAGAAUCUGAACAUAAAAAGGGGAAGAAGUUUAUUUUGGAGGUUAUUGCAUUUCUUUUUCUUUUACCUUUUCUGGAAAACUCAAAUGCAUUCAUUAAUAUUUACCAAGAUGGUGCAGGGAGUAUGUACUGAUAGGGUGUCUGCUUUACACAUUCAUCCAUCAAGAUAGCCCAUUUGUCUGUUCAAAAAUUAAAUGCUCUUCUUGCACCUGAAGUACAAGAAAAACAAUCACUUGUAUAUUAUUUUUAUCAUUCUCAACUAUAAUGGAAGAGUCUCCUACUUCUUUCGAUCCAAAGAAUCCAGAAAAGGCACAAAAGUGUAGUUCUUCAAUCUGCACUUCAGCUCGACCGUAUUAACUCAUAUGCUCCUGGGAACACUCAUGAGAUGCUAAGCAAGGAGCAUUAUAAGGCUCCAUAGCUGUGAUGUGAAACUAGAUCCACUAAGAGGCGAUUUAUAUCCUCUCUAUGCCUCUUGCUUAUGCUGCACCUUUGUAUAUUUUCAUGGAGGAGAAGCUUAAACCAUGAAAGAAGCUUUUAGAUUAGUCAUCCAUAAUUGUUGUUCUGUGGGGUAA
Molecule: unclassified non-coding RNA, 598 nt
Filed under: Hevea brasiliensis (rubber tree)
Lineage: Eukaryota; Viridiplantae; Streptophyta; Magnoliopsida; Malpighiales; Euphorbiaceae
Source: RNAcentral